CGACGCUAAGACUGCCUUGACUGCCUUGCAUGUGCCUUGGAUGCGCUUGGACGCCACCAGGAUCACCUUGGAUGUGCCUGGAUGAUGCCGGGACCGCCUUGGCUCCGCCUGGACGACGCUGGAGCUGCCUUGGAUGCGCCUUGGAUGCGCCUGGACGAAGCCAGAAUCACCUUGGAUGCUCCUGGACGACGCCGGGACCAACCUGGAUGCGCCUGGAUGACGCCGGGAACGCCUAAAAAGUGCCUUGGAUGCGCCUUGGACGCACUUGGACGACUUCAGGAACGCCUCGGAUACGCCUGGAUGACGCCGGGACCAUCUUGAAUGGACCUGGUUGAUGCCGGGACUGCCUUGUAUGCGCCUGGACUGCCUUGUAUGCGCCGGGACAACGCCGGGACUGACUUGUAUGCGCCUGGACGACGCCAGGACCGCCUUGGAAGCGCCUGGAUGACAGCGGGACCGCUUUAGAUGCGCCUUGAAUGACGCUAGGAUGGCCUCUGGUGCGCCUGGGUGACGCCGGGACCGCCUUGAAUGCGCCUGGACUCUGGGACAGCCUUGUUUGCGCCUCGGCGACGCUGGGACUGCCUUAGAUGCGCCUGGACGACGCCAGGACCGCCUUAGAUUCGCCUGGACGCCGGGACUGCCUUGGAUGCACUUGAACGACGCUGAGAACGCCUUGGAUGCGCCUGGACGACACCAGGUCUGCCUUGGAUGUGCCUUGGAUGUGCCUGGAGGACGCCAGGACCACCUUGGAUGCGCCUGGAAAACGCCGGUACCGACUUUGAUCCGCACGGACGAUGCCGGGACCGCCUUGAAUGCUCCUUGGAUGCGCCUUGGCUGUGCCUUGGAUGAACCCGGAUGAUUCGCCUGGACGCCGGGACUGCCUUGGAUGCAUUUGGACGACGCUGAGACCGCCUUGGACACGCCUGGACGACGCCAGGACCGCCUUGGAUUUGCCUGGACGCUGGGACCGCCUUGUUUGUGCCUGGACAACUCCCUGACCGCCUUGGAUGACGUUGGUACCGCCCCGGAUACGCCUGGACGACGCCGGGAUUGCCUUGGAUGCGUCUUGGAUGCACUUGGACGACAUUGGGACCGCCUUGGAUGCGCAUGGAUGACGCCAGGACAGCCUUUGUUGCGACUUGGAUGCGCCUUGGAUGAGCCUCCGAUGCGCCUGAACAAUACCAGGACCACCUUGGAUGCGCAUGGACGAUGCCGGGACCGCCUUGGAUGCGCCUUGAAUUCGCUUUCACUGCGCCUGGAUUACGCCCGGACCGCCUUGGAUUCGCCUGGACGCCGGGACUGCCUUGGAUGCACUUGGACGACGCUGAGACCGCCUUGGAUGCGCCUGGACGACACCAGGUCUGCCUUGGAUGUGACUUGGAUGUGCCUGGAGGACGCCAGGACCACCUUAGAUGCGCCUGGAAAACGCCGGUACCGACUUUGAUCCGCACGGACGAUGCCGGGACCGCCUUGAAUGCUCCUUGGAUGCGCCUUGGCUGUGCCUUGGAUGAACCCGGAUGAUUCGCCUGGACGCCGGGACUGCCUUGGAUGCAUUUGGACGACGCUGAGACCGCCUUGGAAACGCCUGGACGACGCCGGGACCGCCUUGGAUUUGCCUGGACGCUGGGACCGCCUUGUUUGUGCCUGGACAACGCCUGGACCGCCUUGGAUGCGUCUUGGAUGCGCCUUGGAUGUACCUGGACAACGAUGGGAGCGCCUUGGAUGCCCCUGGACGUCGCCUUAGAUGUGCCUUGGAUGCGCCUGUAUCAUGCCAGGACCACCUUGGAUGACGCCGGGACCGCCUUUCAUGCGCCUAAACGCUGGGACCGACUUGUUUGUGCCUGGACGACGCUGGGACUGCAUUGGAUGCGCCUUGGAUGCCCUUGGAUGCACCUGGACGACCCAGGGACUGCCUUGGAUGCGCCUGGACGACUCCGGGACUGCCUUGGAAGCGCCUUGGAUGCGCUUUGGAUGCACCUGGGUACGCUGGGACCGCCUCGGAUGCGCCUGGAUGACGCUGGCAUUCCCUUGGAUGGGCCUUGGAUGCUCCAGGACAACGCCGGGACCGCCUUGGAUUUGCCUGGACGCUGGGACUGCAAUGUUUGUGCCUGGAUGACGCCCUGACCGCCUCGGAUGCGCCUUGGAGGCACCUGGUCGAGGCUGGGUCCGCCUUGCGUGCGCCUGGAAGCCGGGACCGCCUUGGGUGCGCCGGACGACGCCUGGAACGCCUUGCAUGCGCCUGAACGCUGGGACCGCCUUGUUUGCGCCUGGAUGACCCCUCGGAUGCGCCUUGGAUGCGCCUGGACGACACUGGGACUGCCUUGGAUGCGCCUGGAUGACCUUGAGACUUCCUUGCAUGCACCUUGCAGGUUCCUGGACGACGCUGGGACUACUUUGGAUGCGCCUGGACGACGCCGGGACCGCCUUGCAUGCGCCUGGACGACGCCGAAUCGCCUUGGAUUCCCCUGGAUGCUGGGACUGCACUGUUUGUACCUGUACGACGCUGUGACCGCCUUGGAUGUGCCUUGAAUGCGCCUUGGAUGCACCAGGACGACGCUGGGACUGCCUUCGAUGCGCCCGGUCGACGCUGGGACUGCCUUGGAUCCGCCUUGGAUGCACCUUGGAUGCGCUUGGAUGACGUUGGGACCGCCCCGGAUACGCCUGGACGACGCCGGGAUUGCCUUGGAUGCGCCUGGACGACGGCAGGACUGGCUUGUUUGAGCCUGGACUACCCCAAGAUCGCAUUGGAUGCGACUGGAUGAUGCCAGGACCGCCUUGGAUGCGCCUGGACGACGGCGGGACCGCCUUGAAUGCGCCUGGACGACGGCGGGACCGCCUUGGAUUCCCCUUGGAUGUGCCUUGGAUGCGCCCGGACGACGCCGGGACUGCCCUGGAUGCGCCUGGAAGACGCCGUUAGCGCCUUGCAUGCGACUGGACGUUGGGACCGCCUUGUUUAAGCCUGGACGACGCCGGGACCGCCUUGGAUGAACCUGGACGACGGCAGGACCACCUUAAAUGUGCCUGGACGAUGCCGGGAUUGCCUUGGAUGAACCUUAGAUCCGCAAGGACCACGUUGGAUGCGCUUUGGAUGCGCCUGGCCGACACUGGGACCGCCUUAGAUGCGCCUUGAAUGCGCCUCGGAUGUACCUUGUAUGCUCCUGGACGACGCCAGGACCGCCUUGGAUGCGUCUUGGAUGCGUUUGGACUACAUUGGGACCGCCUUGGAUGCGCAUGGAUGACGCCAGGACAGCCUUUGUUGCGACUUGGAUGCGCCUUGGAUGAGCCUCCGAUGCGCCUAAACAAUACCAGGACCACCUUGGAUGCGCAUGGACGAUGCCGGGACCGCCUUGGAUACGCCUUGAAUUUGCUUUCACUGCGCCUGGAUUACGCCCGGACCGCCUUGGAUGUGUCUUGGAUGUGCCUUGGAUGUGCCUUGGAUGCUUCUGGACGACGCCGGGUUCAUCUUGGAUGCGCCUUGGACGCGCCUUGACAACGCCGUGACUGGCUUGGAUGCGCCAGGACAUACUGGGACCGCUUUGGAUGCGCCUGGAUGACAGCGGGACUGCCUUGGUUGCGCCUUGAAUGCGCCUUGGAUGCUCUGAGACGACGCCGGGACAGCUUUGGAUGCGCCAGACGAUGUCGGGACUGCCUAACAUGCGCCUGGACGCUGGAACCGCCUUGGAUGUGCCUUGACUGCCUUAGGUGUGCCUGGACGAAUCCAGGACUGCCUUGGAUAUGCCUGGACGACGAUGGGACCGCCUUGUUUGAGCCUGGACGACGCCGGGACCGCCUUGUCUAUGCCUGGACGACGCCGGGACUGUCUUGGAUGAGCCUUAGAUGCACCUGGACCGAUAUGGCUUCAAUACGCCUCGAAUGCGCCUGCACAACAACGGGACCGCCUUGGAUGCGCCAGACGAUGCCGGGACUGCCUAACAUGCGCCUGGACGCUGGAACCGCCUUGGAUGUGCCUUGACUGCCUUGGAUGCGCUUGGACGCCGCCAGGAUCACCUUGGAUAUGCCUGGAUGAUGCUGGGACCGGCUUGGCUGCGCCUGGGCGACGCUGGGACUGCCUUAGAUGCACCUUGGAGGACGCCAGGACCACCUUGGAUGUGCCUGGAAAACGCCGGGACCGACUUUGAUCUGCACGGACGAUGCCGGGACCACCUUGAAUGCUCCUUGGAUGCUCCUUGGAUGCGCCUUGGAUGUGCCUUGGAUGAACCCGGAUGACAGCGGAAGGAGUGGAGCUCUUUACAAGCCCUAGGCUUCGUCUCCCUCCUUAUUAUUAUUAUUGAUAUAAUAAUAUGUGCUAAACAAUAAACUAACUAACUAACACCGGGACCGCCUUCGAUAAGCCUGGACGACGCCGGGACCGCCUUGGAUGUGCCUGGUUGACGUCAGGACUUCCUUGGGUGCACCUGGACGGCGCCGGGACAGCCUUGGAUGCGCCUGGACGACAGCAGGACCGCCUUGUUUAAGCCUGGACAACCCCAAGAUCGCCUUGGAUGCGACUGGAUGGUCCUUGCAUGGUCCUGGACGACGCUACGACCGCCUUGGCUGCGCCUGGACGACCCCGAGACCGUCUUGCAUGCGCCUGGAUGCUGAGACCGCCUUGUUUGCGCCUGGUCAAAACCAGGACUUACUUGGACGCGCCUGGACAACGCCGGGACCGCCUUAGAUUAGCCUGGAUGCUGAGUCUGCCUUGUUUGUGCCUGGACAACGCUGGCACCGCCUUGGAUGCGCUUUGGAUGUACCUCGACGACGCUGAGACCGCCUUGGUUGCGCUUUGGAUGUACCUGGACGACGCUGGGACCGCCUUGUUCGCGCCUGGACGACGCCUGGACCGCCUUUGAUUUGCUGAGACCGCCUCGGUUGCGCUUUGGAUGUACCUGGACAACGCUGGGACCGCUUUGUUUGCGCCUGGACGACGCCUGGACCGCCUUUGAUUUGCUGGGACUGCCUUGUUUGUGCCUGGACGCCGCUGGGACCACCUUGGAUGCGCCUUGGAUGCACCUGUACAACGCUGGGACCGCCUUGUUUGCACCUGGACAACGCCAGGACCGCUUUCCAUGCGCCUUGGAGUCACCUGGACGAUGCCGGGACCGUCUUGGGUGCGCUGUACGACGCCGGGACCGUCUUGCAUGAACCUGGACGCUGGGACCGCCUUGUUUGCGCCUGGACGAUGCCGGGAGCGCCUUGCAUGCGCCUGGAUGACGCACAAUCGCCUUGGAUUGCCCUGGAGGCUGGGACUGCACUGUUUGUACCUGUAUGACGCUGUGACCGCCUUUGAUGCACCUAGGAUGUGCCUUGAAUGCGCUUUGGAUGCACCAGGACGACGCUGGGACUGCCUUGGAUGCGCCUGGUCGACGCUGGGAAUGCCUUGGAUGCGCCUUGGAUGCGCUUGGAUGACGUUGGGACCGCCCCGGAUAUGCCUGGAUGAUGUCGGGAUCGCCUUGGAUGCGCCUGGUUGAUGAAGGGACUGCAUUGGAUGCGCUUGGACGACGCCGGGACCGCCUUGGAUGACUCCAGGACCGCCUUGGAUGCGCGUGGACGCUGGGAUCGCCUUGUUUGCGCCUGGACGACGACAGGACUGCCUUGUAUGGGCCUUGGAAGCGCCUUGGAUGCGCCUGGUCGACGGGGGGGACCACUUUGGAUGCGCCUGGACGACGGCGAGACCGCCUUGGAUGCGCCUGGACGACGGCGGGUCUGCCUUGGAUUCCCCUUGGAUGUGCCUUGGAUGCGCCCGGAUGACGCCGGGACCACCUUGGAUGCGCCUUGGAUGCGCCUUCGAUGCACCUCGGAUGCGCCUGACGACGCCGGGACUGGCUUGGAUGCGCCUGGACGACGCCAGGGCCGCCUUGGAUGCACCUGGACGAUGGUGGGAUGCACCAAGAUUGCGCCAGGACUGCCUCGAAUGCGCCUGGACGACACCCGGACCUCCUGCCUGCCUGGCCCACUCUUGGAUGAGACCACGAGCGCUUUGGAUGCACCUGGACGACGCCAGGACCACCUUGGAUUCCCCAUGGGUGUGCCUUGGAUGCGCCCGGAUGACGCCGGGACCACCUUAGAUGCGCCUUGGAUGCGCCUUGGAUGCGCCUUCAAUGCACCUCGGAUGCCCCUGACGACGCCGGGACUGGCUUGGAUGCGCCUGGACGAUGCCAGGACCGCCUUGGAUGCACCUGGACGAUGGUGGGAUGCACCAAGAUUGCGCCAGGACUGCCUCGAAUGCGCCUGGACGACACCCGGACCUCCUGCCUGCCUGGCCCACUCUUGGAUGAGACCACGACCGCUUUGGAUGCACCUGGACGACGCCAGGACCACCUUGGAUGCGUAUGGACAACGCCGGGACAGCUUUGGAUGCGCCGGACAAUGCCGGGACUGCCUUACAUGUGCCUGGACGCUGAAACCGCCUUGGAUGCGCCUUGAAUGCACCUGGACGACGCUGGGACUGCCUUAGGUGCGCCUGGACGACGUCGGGACUGCCUUGGAUACGCCUGGACGACGCUGGGACCGCCUUGUUUGAGCCUGGACGACGCCUGGAACGCCUUAGUUUCGCCUGGAUGCUGGGACCGCCUUGUUUUUGCCUGGAUGAUGCCGGAACCGCCUUAGAUGCGCCUUGGAUGUACCUGGACGACGCUGGGACCGCCUUGUUGGCGCCUGGACGCCCCCGGGACCGCCUUGGAUGCACUUGGAAGACGCCGGGACCGCCUUGGGUACGCCUGGACGAUGCCAGGAUCGCCUUGGGUACGCCUUGGAUGCACCUUGGAUGUGCCUUGAAUGUGCCUUGGAUGCGCCUGGACGAUGCAGGGCCUGCCUUGAAUGCGCUUGAAUGUGCCUUGGAUGCGCGGGGACAAGGCCGGGACCGCCUUGCAUGCGCCUUGGGUGCGCUUUGGAUGCGCCUGGACGACACCAGGACCGCCUUUGGUGCGCCUAGACAACGCCGGGACUGCCUUGGGUGAGCCUGGACGAUGCCGGGACUGCCUUAGAUGCACCGGGCCCGCCUUGGAUGUGCCUGGACGAUGCCGGGAUCGCCUUGGAUGCGCCAAGACCGCCUUGGAAGCGCCUGGACGACGUCAGGACCGCCAUGUAUGCGUCUGGACGAUGCUGGGACCGCCUCGGAUGCGCCUGGACAACGCCGAGACCGCCUUGGAUGGACUCUGAUGACGCAGGGACCAACUUGAUGUGCCUGGAAAACGCUGAGACCGUGUUAGAUGCCCCUGGAUGACGUUGGGACCGUCUUGGAUGCGGCUUUGAUGCGCUUGGACAAUGCCUGGACAACCUUCUAUGGGCCUGGAUGAAGCCCGUACCGCCUUAAUUGUGCCUGGACGACGCUUGGACCGCGUUGGAUGCGCUUGGGUGAAGCCGGGACCGACUUAGUCUCGCUUGGACAACGCGGGGACCGCCUUGGAUGUUCUUGGACAACGUUGGGACCGCCUUGGAUGUGCCUGGACGACGCCGGGAUCGCCUUGUAUGCGCCUGGACGACAUCGGGACCACCCUGGACGACGCCGGAACCGCGUUGGAUGCGCCUAUCACGAUGCCGAGACCGCCUUGGAUGCACCUAGGAUGCACCUGGAUGACGCCGGGACCGCCUUGGAUGCGCCUUGGAUGCGCCUGGACGGCGCUGGGAUCACUUUGGAUCCGCCUGGAUGCUGCUGGGACCGCCUUGGAUGCGCCCGGACUACGCCGGGACCGUUUUGGAAGCUUCUGGACAAAGCCGGGAUUGCCUUGGAAGCGCCUUGAAGUAAAUAGAUAACUAAAUAGAUAAGUAAAUAGAUAAAAACUGAGAAGUAAAUAGAUAAAAUAGAUAAGUAUAUAGAAGUAGAUAAGAAAAUAGAUAAAAAUGGAUAAGUAAAUAUAUACAAAUAUAUAAGUAAAUAGAUAAAAAUAGAGAGGUAAAUCGAUAAAAAUGAAAAUGUAAAUACGUAGAUAAGUGAGUAGAUAAGUGAGUAAAAAAUAGAAAAGUAAAUAGAUAAAAAUAGAAAAGUAAUAAAUAAAAUAGAUAAAAUUAGAAAAGUAAAAUAGAUAAAAUUAAAAAAGUAAAUAAACGUGAUAUGAAUUGAUGCUCAUUGUGUGCGUGUGCGUGUGCGCGUGCGCGUGCGCGCCCGCAUCUCAAUCCAUCCAAUCCAUCUAACCAUGCAUGAAUGGUGCAUCGGUGGAGCUGAACACGGGGAGAGGCGUGCAUGUGUGUGUGCGCGCGCUCACACAGACUCCAUAGCAGCAGUGAAGCCGAGAGCAUCUCCUCGGCUGGACGUCUGCACGGAGAAGAGGAAGUAAAGCAGGCAACUUUACAAUUCAAGUCAUCCUCGCUGAAGUCAGCCAUGGAGCGGAAGACAAACGAGGGCUCCACCAGCACCUCUCCUCAGAAACACAUGAAGAAUCGCUCCAAAUCCAUAGAGGAGACACAGCAGUCCAAGAGAGGCAUUUCUUCACAGAAAUCGCUCCCAGGAAGACCAGAGCUGGACAGAGUGAAGGAGUGCCUUGAGGCUUCUGAAACGCCCUCGGCCUCUACUGAGGAAUUAAAGGGAUGAACAAAUAGCCAAGUGAUCUUGUCAUCAAUCAUAUACCGUACGAAUAUAUGGAACAAAAUUGUAAUAAAAAGCCAGUGAUAAAUUCAAAAUGUGUUACAUGACCUACAUACCGUAAGCAGUCACAAAAACAUAGAUCUAUAUUAAGACAUUGCAUGUGAAGAAAACAUGUUUUUAUCCAGUUCUCCAGUUUGUUUGUUCUUUAGGCUGAAGAACUUUUUUUUUUCUAAAAAUCUCAUGAUUUUAAUCUAAGAAUGGCCAGUUUAUCGGUCAGGCUCCAACUGUUCUUUUUGAGUGCAUGCUGUCGCCAAUGAACAAAAUCAUCGAUUACUAUAUUUAGUUUGUAUCUCUUGACCUGCUACCAGCAGAAGGUGUAAUUAUGGAACAUUGUUACUGCUAAUGUAUCAAUUUGUGGGUUAGUGUUGGUCCACUAUUCACUGCUGCACCAAUUGUGUAAAAGUUCAUCCGCUUAGUUUGGUGAACCACUCAUACAUGCAAUGCAUACCUACAACACAAUGUUAAAACCAUUAUAUGCUAUUCAAACCAAAACGGUACCCCCUGUCCCCCUUAUUUUUUUUUCUCCAACUGAGCUCUUAUAAAGGCUCUCCUUGUAGUAGGUGAUGGUUUUGUCAAACAUUAAUAAAAUCCUCGACCCAUAUAA
Molecule: RNA transcript, 9185 nt
Organism: Syngnathus typhle (broad-nosed pipefish)
Lineage: Eukaryota; Metazoa; Chordata; Actinopteri; Syngnathiformes; Syngnathidae
Exons: 5
Source: RefSeq, a predicted model, not a curated record